GCUACAGGCUUAACACAUGCAAGUCGAGGGGCAGCAUUUCAGUUUGCUUGCAAACUGGAGAUGGCGACCGGCGCACGGGUGAGUAACACGUAUCCAACCUGCCGAUAACUCGGGGAUAGCCUUUCGAAAGAAAGAUUAAUACCCGAUGGCAUAAUUAGACCGCAUGGUCUUAUUAUUAAAGAAUUUCGGUUAUCGAUGGGGAUGCGUUCCAUUAGGCAGUUGGUGAGGUAACGGCUCACCAAACCUUCGAUGGAUAGGGGUUCUGAGAGGAAGGUCCCCCACAUUGGAACUGAGACACGGUCCAAACUCCUACGGGAGGCAGCAGUGAGGAAUAUUGGUCAAUGGGCGCAGGCCUGAACCAGCCAAGUAGCGUGAAGGAUGACUGCCCUAUGGGUUGUAAACUUCUUUUAUAUGGGAAUAAAGUUCUCCACGUGUGGAAUUUUGUAUGUACCAUAUGAAUAAGGAUCGGCUAACUCCGUGCCAGCAGCCGCGGUAAUACGGAGGAUCCGAGCGUUAUCCGGAUUUAUUGGGUUUAAAGGGAGCGUAGGUGGACAGUUAAGUCAGUUGUGAAAGUUUGCGGCUCAACCGUAAAAUUGCAGUUGAUACUGGCUGUCUUGAGUACAGUAGAGGUGGACGGAAUUCGUGGUGUAGCGGUGAAAUGCUUAGAUAUCACGAAGAACUCCGAUUGCGAAGGCAGCUCACUGGACUGCAACUGACACUGAUGCUCGAAAGUGUGGGUAUCAAACAGGAUUAGAUACCCUGGUAGUCCACACAGUAAACGAUGAAUACUCGCUGUUUGCGAUAUACAGUAAGCGGCCAAGCGAAAGCAUUAAGUAUUCCACCUGGGGAGUACGCCGGCAACGGUGAAACUCAAAGGAAUUGACGGGGGCCCGCACAAGCGGAGGAACAUGUGGUUUAAUUCGAUGAUACGCGAGGAACCUUACCCGGGCUUAGAUUGCAUUUGAAUAUAUUGGAAACAGUAUAGCCGUAAGGCAAAUGUGAAGGUGCUGCAUGGUUGUCGUCAGCUCGUGCCGUGAGGUGUCGGCUUAAGUGCCAUAACGAGCGCAACCCUUAUCUUUAGUUACUAACAGGUCAUGAUGAGGACUCUAGAGAGACUGCCGUCGUAAGAUGUGAGGAAGGUGGGGAUGACGUCAAAUCAGCACGGCCCUUACGUCCGGGGCUACACACGUGUUACAAUGGGGGGUACAGAAGGCAGCUACCUGGUGACAGGAUGCUAAUCCCAAAAGCCUCUCUCAGUUCGGAUCGAAGUCUGCAACCCGACUUCGUGAAGCUGGAUUCGCUAGUAAUCGCGCAUCAGCCAUGGCGCGGUGAAUACGUUCCCGGGCCUUGUACACACCGCCCGUCAAGCCAUGAAAGCCGGGGGUACCUGAAGUACGUAACCGCAAGGAGCGUCCUAGGGUAAAACUGGUAAUUGGGGCUAAGU
RNAcentral lists this ribosomal RNA (1444 nucleotides) under uncultured organism. RNAcentral describes it as "SSU rRNA". It matches the Rfam family "Bacterial small subunit ribosomal RNA". The record is from RNAcentral.